UGGGGUGUAGCUCAGUCGGUUAGAGCAUUCCGCUGAUAACGGAAAGGUCGCAGGUUCAAUUCCUGUCUCCCCAAC
Molecule: transfer RNA, 75 nt
Filed under: Streptomyces phage Phredrick
Lineage: Duplodnaviria; Heunggongvirae; Uroviricota; Caudoviricetes; Stanwilliamsviridae
Also listed under: 2 other names
Description: tRNA-Ile
Rfam family: tRNA
About the family: Transfer RNA (tRNA) molecules are approximately 80 nucleotides in length. Their secondary structure includes four short double-helical elements and three loops (D, anti-codon, and T loops).
Source: RNAcentral